AUCCAUUGACUUAUUGUAGUACGUAACAAUUGACUUCCUCCUAUUUCAUCAUCAAUAAUGGUGCUGAUAUAAAAUACCUUAAUUUCUGAAGAUUUGUGUGGAUAGAUGUAGCUUUCAUCUUUCUUAAAAAAUUUCCUCAACUAGCUUUCAUCUCUUGCAAAUUGUUAAAUAAAGAUUCAGUUUUUUUUUUGGUUAGUUUAAAAGAUUCAUUUUCUUUGAACAAAUCGAGAUUCUUCCUUGUCUGAAGAUUCUUUCUAUAAACAAGUGAUCGAAGAAUCUUUCAACUACCACUCCCUACAUAUUUCCGAAGAAACAUAUCCACUUUUCCAUUUACAACAAUAUAAAGUGCGAGGAAGAAGAAAGAAGAUAUGGCCACGUGUCCUCCUUUCGACUUCUCGGCGAAAUAUUACAACGGUGGCGGAAGCGGAUGCGAGAGGCGGAGCAGCUUCUUCGGAGAUACUACGGUGCUCGACCAAGGCGUUGGGUACGCCGUUAUUCUCGGGUUUGGUGCUUUCUUUGCCGUCUUCACAUCUGUGUUGGUUUGGUUAGAGAAACGAUAUGUGGGGGCUCAACAUACCUCUGAAUGGUUCAAUACAGCUGGAAGAAACGUCAAGACAGGACUCAUUGCGAGUGUCAUUGUGUCACAGUGGACAUGGGCUGCGACAAUACUCCAAAGUUCAAACGUCGCAUGGCAGUAUGGUGUUAGCGGACCGUUUUGGUACGCUAGUGGGGCCACCAUACAGGUACUCUUGUUUGGUGUGAUGGCGAUUGAAAUAAAAAGAAAAGCUCCUAAUGCUCACACGGUCUGCGAAAUAGUGAAGGCUCGGUGGGGAACCGCAACACAUAUAGUGUUCUUGGUGUUUUGUCUGGCGACAAACGUGGUAGUGACGGCUAUGCUAUUGCUCGGUGGCUCGGCCGUGGUGAAUGCUCUCACCGGAGUGAAUAUAUACGCUGCAAGCUUUCUGAUUCCUCUCGGUGUCAUUGUUUAUACUUUGGCAGGAGGACUUAAAGCUACUUUCCUCGCAAGCUAUGUUCACUCUGUCAUAGUUCACGUGGUUUUAGUCGUCUUUGUGUUUCUGGUCUACACUUCGAGUAGUGAGCUUGGGAGUCCCUCUGUGGUCUAUGACCGGCUAAGAGAUAUGGCCGCUAAGUCAAGGAUAUGCACUGAGCCACUCUCACACCACGACCAAGCUUGCGGUCCGGUCGACGGCAACUACAAAGGCUCUUAUCUCACCAUGUUGAGCUCUGGUGGUGCUGUCUUCGGUAUCAUCAACAUUGUCGGAAACUUCGGCACUGUCUUCGUCGACAAUGGUUACUGGGUGAGUGCAAUAGCUGCUCGACCUUCAUCAACCCACAAGGGGUAUUUGCUUGGUGGACUCGUGUGGUUCGCUGUGCCUUUCUCUCUAGCCACCUCCUUAGGCCUCGGCGCACUUGCCCUAGACUUGCCUAUAAGCGCAGAUGAGGCUAAUCGAGGUCUAGUCCCGCCUGCUACUGCCAUUGCUCUCAUGGGUAAAUCAGGAUCCUUGCUUCUUCUCACUAUGCUUUUCAUGGCUGUAACAUCAGCUGGUUCUUCCGAGCUUAUCGCGGUAUCAUCUCUCUUCACCUACGACAUCUACCGAACAUACAUAAAUCCUAGAGCAACCGGAAAACAAAUCUUGAAAGUCUCAAGAUCUGCGGUUCUUGGAUUUGGAUGUUUCAUGGGGAUUCUUGCAGUGAUCUUGAACAAAGCCGGUGUUUCCCUCGGAUGGAUGUAUCUCGCGAUGGGAGUUCUCAUUGGCUCUGCGGUUAUCCCCAUCGCUUUCAUGCUUUUGUGGAGCAAAGCUAAUGCAUUUGGUGCUAUUCUUGGGUCGAUCUCUGGCUGUGUUCUUGGGAUUGUUACUUGGUUAUCCACCGCAAAGAUUCAGUACGGACGUGUCGAUCUUGAUACCACAGGGAGAAAUGCUCCCAUGCUUGCUGGUAACCUCGUUGCUAUUCUAACAGGUCAGGAUUCUACUACUUUGAGGAAAUUUCGGCUUCGUUCCAUUUCUUUCUUUCACUUGAAUUCUUGCUCUUUCUUAUCUUUUUUUUGGUCAAUAAUACUAGGUAUAAUUAGGUUUUUGGGUUGGAUUUUAGUAGUUGGUGGAUAAAAAAAUUUACAAAAUCAAAGUAGAUAACCAAAUUAAAAUACAUUAUGUUUUUGGAAAUAAAUGAAAGUAAAACAUAGGACCAUGGUAAAAUGGUUUCAUCACUCUCUCUAUAUUCAACAUCUUCUUUUUUAUCUUUUUAACAUUCCACAUCAUCUUAUCUCUCUUCCACCUCAUUUAUUCAACAUCCACUUCAUUCUAAACUUAUAUAAUGAUUUGUUUUAAGAAAUUUAACACUCUACCCCACAACUUUUAAUUUAUAUUUUUGUUUUUACAACAUAAUAAAUACAUAUUUAUAAUUUGAUUAUAAUUAACCUAAAAACUAAAACAACAUAUAUUUAAUAAUAUUUAUUUUGAAUUAUUAUACUUCACUUACUUUUUAUAAUACGAAAAAUUAAUACUAUAAAAAAAUAUUAAGAACAUCUUCAUUUGGUGGGAAACCAAAAUUUGGUAUAUUUUGGGGCUGGUUGGAAGUUUGGUUUUAAAAUUGAUAAUUGUUGGAAUUUUUGGAAGUUAAACGGAAAAUUAGAAGAGUUUUGGAUGUUGAAAGGAUUAUUAUUGGGAUCCAUUUAACCAAAAAAAAAGUUUAAAACACUAAAAUAGUUGAUUAUAAUGAAAAAUGAUAUUUUUUCUGUAUCCAAAUGAAAUAGAGUAGUCUCUAUUUAUAAAUUAAAAAAAUCUUGAAUUUUGAUAUAAUUUUUUUAAAUAGUUUAUUAUAAAAUAAAUGGGUUCGAAUUAUUGGAUGGGGAUAAAAAUCAAAGAAAAUCUGCACAUCCAAUGAGAACACAACAUUUAAAUCUUAUCAUGAAUUAAAAAAUAAAUAGUGUUAGCUUGCACGCGUGCAUGCCCUCAACAUUUAUACCCGCUCACGGUGCCAUGGGCCACAAAAAAAAAUUUCAACCAUUGAAACUUUCCAACACUUGUUAAGCCCACGUAUAUUUACGCAGAAAUUCAACACCCUCACUGCAUGGUCACAACCGUUGAAAUUGGUUUUCAACACCCUCGUUGUGGAUGGUCUAAUGAAAAACCUAAUUAAUGAGGGUUUAUCCAUGCGGUGUGUAGUCUAGUACAGCCACAGAACUACGAUUGGUCGACGACGAGGGAAAUCAAAGUGGUGGAAGCUGAGGCUCCAGGGGACGAUAUCGAUGUUCCUGUAGAGGAGCUAAAAGAAGAGAAGC
RNA transcript from Brassica rapa (field mustard), 3301 nucleotides. It is a transcript of the gene named urea-proton symporter DUR3, with no coding region annotated. The record is from RefSeq and is a predicted model, not a curated record. Lineage: Eukaryota; Viridiplantae; Streptophyta; Magnoliopsida; Brassicales; Brassicaceae.